This 574-nucleotide ribosomal RNA is filed under the name fungal endophyte sp. KQH01. RNAcentral describes it as "eukaryotic LSU rRNA". The stretch from base 197 to 350 matches the Rfam family "5.8S ribosomal RNA". Lineage: Eukaryota; Fungi. The record is from RNAcentral.
UUUCCGUAGGGGGUGACCUGCGGAGGGAUCAUUAAAGAGUGUAAUAACUCCCAAACCCAUGUGAACAUACCUCAUGUUGCCUCGGCAGGUCGCGCCUCUCUUGUAGGUCCUACGCGGAAGGCGCGGGUACCCCUGCCGGCGGCCCACGAAACUCUGUCUCAUCGUUGAAUUCUGAACCUAUAACUAAAUAAGUUAAAACUUUCAACAACGGAUCUCUUGGUUCUGGCAUCGAUGAAGAACGCAGCGAAAUGCGAUAAGUAAUGUGAAUUGCAGAAUUCAGUGAAUCAUCGAAUCUUUGAACGCACAUUGCGCCCAUUAGUAUUCUAGUGGGCAUGCCUGUUCGAGCGUCAUUUCAACCCUUAAGCCCUCGUUGCUUAGCGUUGGGAGCCUACGGCACCGUAGCUCCCCAAAGUCAGUGGCGGAGUCGGCUCACACUCUAGACGUAGUAAUUUCUCACCUCGCCUACAGUUGGACCGGUCCCCUGCCGUAAAACGCCCCAGUCUUUAAAAGGUUGACCUCGGAUCAGGUAGGAAUACCCGCUGAACUUAAGCAUAUCAAUAAGCCGGGAGGAAAA